GGACCAUCCAAGUCAUCAUCAGUUGUCAGCAACCUACAGACAAAAAGUUCCCUGAGCCUACAGGCCUGCACACUUUGCUUUCAUCUUACUCUGGGGGAUAGCUACUCCCAAUAAUUAGCCAACAGAACUGCAGAUCACAGCCUAACAAAGCAGUUAAGGCGGUUCAAAGGCCAACUGGCACGCUAAGAGAAGUCCCGCCAUGCACUCCCACCUCUCUCCUACCACCAUCUGACCCCUCAGCAAGCAGAUUCACUGCUGAAGUCCACCUUCAAAUUCAUGCAGUUCAGAGUCCCAGCUGGACACAAGGGCCCUAGUUCUGCAGUCUCAUCCAAGGCGCUGAUUCUGAAGUGCUGAGUGGAAGGCCCACACUCCAGAAGCUCAUUAAAAGGGCCAAGUUACAGUACAGGUUUAUUUCUGUCACAGCGUUUCAAAAAACAGUGACAAGGAUUAAUAUGUUUCUUUGGUACUGGAAAAAGCCUGAUAUGAUCCCUUGUGAAUUUGAUCAUCUGUUUUGUUGCCUGUAUACGAUUCAAUCUCCUAUUAUAUCCUGAAGUUACAGCUGUAAACCAGGGCUGAUAAGAAUUCAGAAAACACUGCCAGAGCCUGCAGAGAACUAAUUGUUUUAUUAAGCAGCAUCUUGUUUAUUUGCAAUUUAUUUCAUACAUCAUUCAGAGAACAAACUCUUCUUUAAGAUAAUAAAGCA
Molecule: long non-coding RNA, 703 nt
Filed under: Cyanistes caeruleus (blue tit)
Lineage: Eukaryota; Metazoa; Chordata; Aves; Passeriformes; Paridae
Description: lncRNA (ENSCCEG00000015717.1)
Source: RNAcentral